Molecule: ribosomal RNA, 253 nt
Filed under: uncultured bacterium
Lineage: Bacteria
Description: partial 16S ribosomal RNA
Rfam family: Bacterial small subunit ribosomal RNA
Source: RNAcentral
UACGGGGGGGGCAAGCGUUGUUCGGAAUUACUGGGCGUAAAGGGCUCGUAGGCGGCCAACUAAGUCAGAUGUGAAAUCCCCAGGCUCAACCUGGGAACUGCAUCUGAUACUGGAUGGCUUGAAUCCGGGAGAGGGAUGCAGAAUUCCAGGUGUAGCGGUGAAAUGCGUAGAUAUCUGGAGGAAUACCGGUGGCGAAGGCGGCAUCCUGGACCGGCAUUGACGCUGAGGCGCGAAAGCCAGGGGAGCAAACGGG